GAUGAACGCUGGCGGCGUGCCUAAUACAUGCAAGUCGAGCGAACGGACGAGAAGCUUGCUUUUCUGAUGUUAGCGGCGGACGGUUGAUUAACCCUUGGUUACCUUCCUUUUAAACUUGGGUUAACUUCGGGAACCCGGGCUUAUUACCGGUUAUUUUUUUGACCCCAUUGUUUCAAAAUUGAAGGACGUUCUUCUUUUCAUUUAUAGAUGAAUCCCCGCUCCAUUAGCUAGUUGUUAAGGUAACGGCUUACCAAGGCAACGAUGCAUAGCCGACCUGAGAGGGUGAUCGGCCACACUGGAACUGAGACACGGUCCAGACUCCUACGGGAGGCAGCAGUAGGGAAUCUUCCGCAAUGGGCGAAAGCCUGACGGAGCAACGCCGCGUGAGUGAUGAAGGUCUUCGGAUCGUAAAACUCUGUUAUUAGGGAAGAACAUAUGUGUAAGUAACUGUGCACAUCUUGACGGUACCUAAUCAGAAAGCCACGGCUAACUACGUG
RNAcentral lists this ribosomal RNA (497 nucleotides) under uncultured bacterium. RNAcentral's name for it is "partial 16S ribosomal RNA". It matches the Rfam family "Bacterial small subunit ribosomal RNA", at positions 28 to 507 of the family's 1533-position model. The record is from RNAcentral.